AUGACUGUUUCUUCCUUCCCAAUCCCUAGUUCAGGGCCUGACACAGAAGAGAUGCUUGAUGCAGGUGUGUGGAAUGACGUAAAAAGUCUCCUCAUGGAACCAAAGGCAAAGACUUGGGGAAGUGGGUCUGAGACAAAGGUUCUAUCUUUUUUUUUUUUUUUUUUCCUUUCAGCAUCUGAGACAAUCCCACUAUCUUUAAAAAUAUUUCCUAAAGAUUUUCAGUCUAUUGACAGUUACUCCACUUCCUUAUUUUCUCCAAAUGAGAGAAAAAAAGAAAGAAAAAAAUUCCAUUUCCUCUUCUUCACAUUUCACCUCAUUGGAAAUACAUCACUGGAAAGAUUUUGGCACCCAACUAUUCCCAAAGGAUAA
RNAcentral lists this long non-coding RNA (369 nucleotides) under Sus scrofa (pig). RNAcentral describes it as "lncRNA (ENSSSCG00005024964.1)". The record is from RNAcentral. Lineage: Eukaryota; Metazoa; Chordata; Mammalia; Artiodactyla; Suidae.